GGUUGCGAUCAUACCAGCACUAAUGCACCGGAUUCCAUCAGAACUCCACAGUUAAGCGUGCUUGGGCGAGAGUAGUACUAGGAUGGGUGACCCCCUGGGAAGUCCUCGUGUUGCAACCC
This 119-nucleotide ribosomal RNA is filed under the name Helianthus annuus (common sunflower). The record is from RNAcentral. Lineage: Eukaryota; Viridiplantae; Streptophyta; Magnoliopsida; Asterales; Asteraceae.